AGUGAACGCUGGCGGUAGGCCUAACACAUGCAAGUCGAACGGCAGCACAGUAAGAGCUUGCUCUUACGGGUGGCGAGUGGCGGACGGGUGAGGAAUACAUCGGAAUCUACUUUUUCGUGGGGGAUAACGUAGGGAAACUUACGCUAAUACCGCAUACGACCUACGGGUGAAAGCAGGGGAACUUCGGACCUUGCGCGAUUGAAUGAGCCGAUGUAGGAUUAGCUAGUUGGCGGGGUAAAGGCCCACCAAGGCGACGAUCCGUAGCUGGUCUGAGAGGUUGAUCAGCCACACUGGAACUGAGACACGGUCCAGACUCCUACGGGAGGCAGCAGUGGGGAAUAUUGGACAAUGGGCGCAAGCCUGAUCCAGCCAUCCCGCGUGAGUGAAGAAGGCCUUCGGGUUGUAAAGCCCUUUUGUUGGGAAAGAAAAGCAGCAGGUUGAUACCCCGCUGUUCUGACGGUACCCAAAGAGUAAGCACCGGCUAACUUCGUG
Molecule: ribosomal RNA, 492 nt
Filed under: uncultured bacterium
Lineage: Bacteria
Description: partial 16S ribosomal RNA
Rfam family: Bacterial small subunit ribosomal RNA
Source: RNAcentral